This 75-nucleotide microRNA precursor is filed under the name Pelobates cultripes (western spadefoot toad). The record is from RNAcentral. Lineage: Eukaryota; Metazoa; Chordata; Amphibia; Anura; Pelobatidae.
AUAUACACACUCUGCAUUAUAUACACACUCUGCAUUAUAUACACAGUGUGUGUAUAUAAUGCAGAGUGUGUGUUU